UGGGGAAUAUUGCNCNNUGGGGGGAACCCUGACGCAGCCAUGCCGCGUGAAUGAAGAAGGCCUUCGGGUUGUAAAGUUCUUUCGGUAUUGAGGAAGGUUGAUGUGUUAAUAGCACAUCAAAUUGACGUUAAAUACAGAAGAAGCACCGGCUAACUCCGUGCCAGCAGCCGCGGUAAUACGGAGGGUGCGAGCGUUAAUCGGAAUAACUGGGCGUAAAGGGCACGCAGGCGGUUAUUUAAGUGAGGUGUGAAAGCCCCGGGCUUAACCUGGGAAUUGCAUUUCAGACUGGGUAACUAGAGUACNNNAGGGAGGGGUAGAAUUCCACGUGUAGCGGUGAAAUGCGUAGAGAUGUGGAGGAAUACCGAAGGCGAAGGCAGCCCCUUGGGAAUGUACUGACGCUCAUGUGCGAAAGCGUGGGGAGCAAACAGGAUUAGAUACCCUGGUAGUCCACGCUGUAAAACGCUGUCGAUUUGGGGGUUGGGGUUUAACUCUGGCGCCCGUAGCUAACGUGAUAAAUCGACCGCCUGGGGAGUACGGCCGCAAGGUUAA
This 549-nucleotide ribosomal RNA is filed under the name uncultured bacterium. RNAcentral describes it as "bacterial SSU rRNA". It matches the Rfam family "Bacterial small subunit ribosomal RNA", at positions 355 to 897 of the family's 1533-position model. The record is from RNAcentral.